Long non-coding RNA from Choloepus didactylus (southern two-toed sloth), 475 nucleotides. RefSeq lists it as uncharacterized. The record is from RefSeq and is a predicted model, not a curated record. NCBI's taxonomy places the organism in Eukaryota, Metazoa, Chordata, Mammalia, Pilosa, Megalonychidae. The transcript has 2 exons.
UGGGGGCUUGGGGCCGCCGGUUUGGGAGAGCACCCUUGGGCCCUGUCCGGGAGCCACUUGGUGGAGCGGCCUGGUUCCAAUGCGUCGCUCCUCGCCCGCUCCUAGAACGAGCUGGGGGCGGAGGGACCAUUUCAACAUCAGGUUCAAGGCGUCCUUCCAUCCCCCACCGCCUGCCGCCCCCUGUCGCUUUUCUCCGGCUUCCUUCUCGAGAUCUGCGAGAUGCAAGAGAGAAUUUUUUAUUCGGGUUUUGCCAAAUGAGAACUAGAGCUACCAGUCCACCCUCCCAGCUCCUUCCGAAGUCAGGUUGAAAAGAAAACACAGAUAAACAAGAAGAUAAAAAUCACCCGUAUUCCUGCCACCCGAAGCUAACCACAGUUAAUACUUUGGUGAAGACUCAGAUUUUUCUAUGAGUGUAUAUGCAUGUAUUUUAUUAAAAACAUUCUUACCAUGCUUUAAGAAAGCAGAUGAAAUUUCA